GGCCUCAUGGUGUAGUGGUAACAUGUCCUCUACUAGUGCCAAAAAAAUACUCUUUGGAGGAGGAAGUCCCUGAAGUCCCUGGUUUGAAUCAAGGUGAGGCCA
Molecule: non-coding RNA, 102 nt
Organism: Mycena leptocephala
Lineage: Eukaryota; Fungi; Basidiomycota; Agaricomycetes; Agaricales; Mycenaceae
Source: the annotation of a GenBank genome assembly